GAUGAACGCUGGCGGCGUGCUUAACACAUGCAAGUCGAACGAUGAAGCCCAGCUUGCUGGGUGGAUUAGUGGCGAACGGGUGAGUAACACGUGAGUAACCUGCCCUUAACUCUGGGAUAAGCCUGGGAAACUGGGUCUAAUACCGGAUAGGAGCGCCUACCGCAUGGUGGGUGUUGGAAAGAUUUAUCGGUUUUGGAUGGACUCGCGGCCUAUCAGCUUGUUGGUGAGGUAAUGGCUCACCAAGGCGACGACGGGUAGCCGGCCUGAGAGGGUGACCGGCCACACUGGGACUGAGACACGGCCCAGACUCCUACGGGAGGCAGCAGUGGGGAAUAUUGCACAAUGGGCGCAAGCCUGAUGCAGCGACGCCGCGUGAGGGAUGACGGCCUUCGGGUUGUAAACCUCUUUCAGUAGGGAAGAAGCGAAAGUGACGGUACCUGCAGAAGAAGCACCGGCUAACUACGU
This 465-nucleotide ribosomal RNA is filed under the name uncultured bacterium. RNAcentral describes it as "partial 16S ribosomal RNA". It matches the Rfam family "Bacterial small subunit ribosomal RNA", at positions 28 to 506 of the family's 1533-position model. The record is from RNAcentral.